GGUGGUUCUCGGGUAAUGCACCCCGGAAUUGGGCUCCCUCCUCUCUGAUUCCAUGUGUAUCACCCAAGAAGCGCA
Myotis lucifugus (little brown bat) is the source of this 75-nucleotide non-coding RNA. NCBI's taxonomy places the organism in Eukaryota, Metazoa, Chordata, Mammalia, Chiroptera, Vespertilionidae. The record is from Rfam.